This 474-nucleotide ribosomal RNA is filed under the name Torwolia sp. VTDes159. RNAcentral describes it as "partial 16S ribosomal RNA". It matches the Rfam family "Archaeal large subunit ribosomal RNA", at positions 1939 to 2666 of the family's 2987-position model. The record is from RNAcentral. Lineage: Eukaryota; Metazoa; Arthropoda; Malacostraca; Isopoda; Desmosomatidae.
AAAAAGUAGAAUUUGCUCCAUGUGUAAAUGCAUAAAUAGCCGCGGUAUACUGACCGUGCAAAGGUAGCAUAGUAAUUUGUCUUUUUAUUGGAGGCUUGGAUAAACGAGUUAACGUCCCUUUUACUAUCAUGUAAUUAUUUACCUAGAACUUAAUAUUUAUGUCAAAAAACUUAAAUGUUUGAGAAGACGACAAGACCCUGUGAAGCUUUAAUCUCCUGUUAAUUAUUAAAUUUAGAAAUUUGUUAGUUAUAAGAUGAUUAAGCUGGGGCGGCUUCUAAAUAACAUUAAAAAUUAAAACUUUUUUAGAAAAGAUAGACCUUAAAAAAAAAUUAGAAAAAGUUACUCCAGGGAUAACAGCAUAAUUUUUUUUUAAAGAUCUUAUUGAAAAAAAAGACUUAUGACCUCGAUGUUGAAUUGAGGGGCCUUAUUUAAGCAAAAAUAAAUACAGGGAGUCUGUUCGACUUUUAAUUCCUC